Molecule: long non-coding RNA, 311 nt
Organism: Dalotia coriaria
Lineage: Eukaryota; Metazoa; Arthropoda; Insecta; Coleoptera; Staphylinidae
Exons: 2
Source: RefSeq, a predicted model, not a curated record
ACACCGUAAUUCUAAUAAUCUUUUUUCUACCUGUGAUUAAAAUGAAAGUAGACACGACAGGACAAGAACGCUCGGAUCGUAACGCUCAGAUAAUUGUUUAUUUUUUGUUUUAGAUUGAAAUUGCUUUAAUUGUAUGUCCUUCAACUGACCGCCGAAACAAAACAUCAAUUCAGCAUCUCAAACAAGCGGAUUUAUUGGUAUCAGUUCAAGUUCGUAUGUAAUGGGUUCACAAUGGAAUUUCUUGUGGUAAUUUUCCAAUAGGUAAUAAAAAUGUAAAUAACUGGUCGAAACAAUAAAUUCCAAAGUUUUAA